Molecule: small nuclear RNA, 107 nt
Organism: Jaculus jaculus (lesser Egyptian jerboa)
Lineage: Eukaryota; Metazoa; Chordata; Mammalia; Rodentia; Dipodidae
Source: Ensembl
GUGUUCGCUUCCGCAACACAUAUACUAAAAUUGGAACGAUACAGAGAAGAUUAGCAUGGCCCCUGCGCAAGGGUGACACGCAAAUUCUUGAGGCGUUCCAUAUUUUA